RNA transcript from Neoarius graeffei (lesser salmon catfish), 4288 nucleotides. It is a transcript of the gene named fibroblast activation protein, alpha, with no coding region annotated. The transcript has 25 exons. The record is from RefSeq and is a predicted model, not a curated record. NCBI's taxonomy places the organism in Eukaryota, Metazoa, Chordata, Actinopteri, Siluriformes, Ariidae.
CUUUGGAAACUUGCUGUGCUCGCUCAGUCCACGCUGAGGUGGCGUCUGUGUGGUGAUGUAGGAGCGGGAAUUUUUAACCGCUGCAUCCCAUAAAGUUCAGUGAUUCAUCGGAGGAAGUCGGGUUUUAGCUUGGAAAGUAGCGCAGGUGGCGCAGUGAGUGUGAGCGCUAGCGUAGCUCGGUGCUAAUGAUCUAAUCAGAGCUCCACAGGGAACUGAAGUGCUCCACGUCAGCGCGCGCGGGACACAGCGGAUGAGACAGAAGGAGCUUUAACCGUCUCGCGCUAACAUGGGCUGCAGUAAGGUGUGCGUGGGUUUGGUCGGCGCGCUUGUCGUCAUCAUACUGGUGGCGGUGCCAACAGCCAUCUAUGUAAACAGGAGCAAUUCAGGUUCAAGAAGGACUUUCACAUUCGAUGACUUUUAUAAUGAUACUAUUCGGUAUCAAACCUAUAGUUUACGAUGGCUUUCAGACAGUGAAUAUCUCCACAAAAGCAAGGAUGGUAAUGUGUAUCUGCAUAAUGUAGAGACCAUGGCCAGCUCAUUAUACUUGAGCAACUCAACAUUUGCCCAAGUGGAUGCAACAGAUUACUUAGUGUCCGCUGAUAGGAAGUAUAUCUGUUUUGAGAGCAACUUUUCAAAGCAAUGGAGACACUCCUUCACAGCCUCGUAUUCUUUAUAUGAUAUGGAGACUCAGGCUUUCAUCACACCCACACACUUCCCUGAAGUCAUCCAGUUAUUAUUGUUGGCACCUGUGGGAAACAUGAUGGCAUAUGUGUGGAAUUAUGACAUUUACAUCAAGCCAAAUGCUACUGCUGAGCCCAUACAAAUCACUAAUGAUGGAAAAGUCAAUCAGAUUCUCAAUGGAGUACCAGACUGGUCUUAUGAAGAGGAGGUGUUUGUGUCAAAUGAGGGAAUGUGGUGGUCUCCUACUGCAAAGUACCUGGCCUAUGUGCAGAUUAAUGACACAGAGGUGCAUGCCAUUGAAUACUCAAUGUACGGAAAAGGGCAGUACCCCACCACCAUGAUUGUCCCCUACCCCAAGGCUGGUUCCAAUAUUCCAAAAGCAAAGCUGUUUGUAAUUGAUGUUUCAAAUGCAUCUAUUCGUUCAGAGGUGGUGGUGCCCAAAUCCCUCGGGGCAGGUGAUCACUACCUGAGUUCUGUAACAUGGGUAACUGAUGAGCGUAUUGCUGUGCAGUGGCUAACACGCAGGCAAGACCAGGUCCUCCUUCAGAUAUAUGACUAUGAUGGGACCAACUGGAAUGAAAAGACGAAAUUUGAGCAAAACAGCCGAACUGGCUGGGUUGGUCGGUACAACCCUCUGACUCCUUACUUUGCCGCAGACAACAGUAGUUUCUACAAGGUGAUGAGUGAUGCGAAGGGCUACAAACAUCUCCACUAUGUGAAGGAUGGCAAAGCAGUAGCAGUAACCUCAGGCAAAUGGGAAGUCAUCUAUAUAUCAAAAUUAACCAAAGAUGCCAUUUACUAUGUUAGUAAUGAGCAUAUGGGAAGACCAGGCCAGAGAAACCUUCAUAAGAUAUCCUUCGGUACAAGUCACAGUCACUCUGCUGCUGAAUGCCUCACCUGCUCACUCUAUGAGGACAGGUGUCAGUACAAUUCAGGGUAUUUCAGCCAACACGCUUCUUACUUCCGCAUGGACUGCUAUGGACCAGGAUUGCCCAUGUUUACACUUAUGGACAAUCGAGGAUCUCGCAAAGAAAUCCAGGUGCUUGAAGACAACAAAAAGUUGGAACAAAUUCUGAAGACAGAGCUUCAAAUGCCAACAAUAAAACGUGCCACGUUAAAAAUAGCAGGGCUUGAUUUAUGGUACCAGAUGAUGUUCCCUCCUGAUUUUGAUGCAUCCAAAAAAUACCCUCUCUUUAUUCAAGUGUAUGCAGGUCCAGGGAGUCAGUAUGUGGACUAUAAGUUCAGGCUGGAGUGGGCCACGUACCUCUGCAGCACAGAGAAAGUCAUCAUUGCCAGCUUUGAUGGAAGAGGAAGCGGUUUCCAAGGUGAUGAAAUAAUGCACGCCAUCUACGAACAACUGGGCACAUAUGAGGUGGAAGAUCAGAUCUCAGCCGUGAGGAAAUUCAUCGAUAUGGGUUUUAUAGACAAAAACCGAAUAGGAAUGUGGGGAUGGUCAUAUGGUGGCUAUGUGACCUCCAUGGUUCUGGGCUCAGGGAGUGGCCUGUUCAAAUGCGGAAUCGCCGUAGCGCCUGUUUCCAAGUGGGAAUAUUAUGAUGCUGUGUAUACUGAGAGGUACAUGCAUCGCCCUGAGGAGAAUUCAGACAGCUACAGUAAUUCCACAGUAACUAGCAGAGCAAAGAAUUUUAAAUCGGUGCAGUACCUGCUGGUGCACGGCACUGCGGACGGUAUUACUUUCUGUUUGUCCCAAAUAACUGUGUUCAGAGUAAAGCAUCGGUGUACACUUUUAAAGCUCCAGUGUUCACUACAGCUGUCAAGCAAUUUUAUGUGCACAUUUGUCAUACAGCCUGCUUGUAAACUCACAGCUAAUCCCUUGAGUGCUGUAUCAGUGUUUCAGCAAAUCUUUACUGUUCCUUUAAACAUGUAACAUGUCCCUCAUAACGCAUUGUCUAGUUGUGUGUGUGUAUAUAUUUGUGUGUGUGUGUGUAUAUAUAUAUAUAUAUAUAUAUAUAUAUAUAUAUAUAUAUAUAAAAGAGAGAGAGAAAGGCGGUUACAAUUAUCGACACCUUAAUGAUCUUUUGGCCGUUGCAAAAGUAGAAAAGACUUUCAAUACAUAAAUUGUACAUGAACAGUUGCUCAAACUUCCAUUGGGAAAAAAAUGAGUUGAUUCCCGAUUACUUAGCAUAUCAGAUCACGUGACGCCUUUCCACAAGUAUUGACACCUUCGUCCACAGUUAUCGACACCGUUUCACAAUUAUCGACACCCAGAUGAUUAUUUAUAAAAAAAAAUAAUUGGUAUGUGGUAUUAAGUUAACAAAACAUGUUUUUUAUUUAAAAUUUGUUUUACGUAGACUUAUAUUUAGUACAAAAUAUCCAUCCAUCUAUCCAUUAUCUGUUGCCGCUUAUCCUGUUCUACAGGGUCGCAGGCAAGCUGGAGCCUAUCCCAGCUGACUAUGGGUGAGAGGCGGGGUACACCCUGGACAAGUCAUCGCAGGGCUAGUACAAAAUAUAAUUUAUAUAAAUAUAUGGAUGUCAGUGUUUACGUAAAUGAGGAAGUAAUUCUAAUGUUUGUAAACAAAUGAACUGAUAAUGUUUAACCUGUCAGAAAAUCUUUUUGUUCCACUUCCUAAGUAUUUUCGUAGAUCACAUUUUGUUAAUCGUUCAUUGUUUGUAUUAAUUUCUAGUUUUGUAGUUUACCAAUAAAUGUCAACAGGCAAUUGACAUUCUAACCACAUGAAAAUCUAGGUCAAAGGUUGCAUGUCAUUCCUCAAACCAAAAUAUAAAAUGUCUGCUGAUAUUGUAAUACGUGGUAGAUACUUACAGCAAACUGCAAAAAUAUUUUCUGAAUGGAAUAGAAAAAUCUGAAUAUUUCAAGCAUGUAAUUUUUUACAUGCGAGGAAUUUAAUUCUAGUCUAAUUCUGUUUAUUGCAAUCGGAUUCCAAAUACUCUAUAAACAUUCCCUUCUGUUAUGAAUUUGAAAAAAUUAUCAUAAAUCACAGCACUUUUUUUUUAAGUACUUCAUCUACUUCAACAAUGUUACACAAAGAUCAAUCCAUAACAGUUGUAAAUGUCACUUAAUUCCACAGGGUGUCGAUAAUGGUGAACACCAGUGAAAGUGAUCACUAUUAUCGACACCUCACCUGAUUUCUUAAACGCACGUUUAGAUACAAAAUGGCGACUGUCAAAUGAAAGAGUAAGAAACAAAGUAGGUUUCGACAAGGAGAUCAUGAAAUAUUGGUGAAUUUGAGAAGUAAAAACAUGUCCAUGAUCUUUCCACCAUGCUUACCUGCGAUGAUAACGUCCGGGUUUUUCUCAAAUUGAUGAUCGUGCUAAAAAAAAAUUCCAUCUCAAGUAACAAGCUGUGUCAUUAGACGACAAGAUCAAAUGGCGAGGGGGGGUCUUCCGGUUGAUUGAUUAACCAAUAAUAACUGUUGUAACUGAAACUCACCUUUGUAAAAUUGUUUUUUUAUUGGUAAAGCUGAAAACGUGUCGAUAAUCAUGGACUGUCGAGAAUUGUAGCCACUGAUGCAUGUUUUUUUUUCCUUCUAGAUAAUGUCCAUUUCCAGCAAUCUGCUCAGAUUUCCAGAGCCCUGGUGGAGCAGCAAGUAGACUUUGAGGCAAUGUGGUACACAGAUAAAGACCAUAGUCU